Molecule: transfer RNA, 75 nt
Filed under: Desulfurococcaceae archaeon
Lineage: Archaea; Thermoproteati; Thermoproteota; Thermoprotei; Desulfurococcales; Desulfurococcaceae
Also listed under: 2 other names
Description: tRNA-Tyr
Rfam family: tRNA
About the family: Transfer RNA (tRNA) molecules are approximately 80 nucleotides in length.
Source: RNAcentral
CCCCCGGUAGCUCAGCGGUAGAGCACCCGGCUGUAGACCGGGGGGUCGGGGGUUCGAAUCCCUCCCGGGGGACCA